GAUCGUAAGACCUAGCGCUGAGAGAGAGUCCUGCGUCUGAUUAGUUAGUUGGUGAGGUAACGGCUCACCAAGACUUCGAUCAGUAGCCGGCCUGAGAGGGCGAUCGGCCACACUGGAACUGAGACACGGUCCAGACUCCUACGGGAGGCAGCAGUGGGGAAUCUUGCGCAAUGGGCGAAAGCCUGA
This 186-nucleotide ribosomal RNA is filed under the name uncultured bacterium. RNAcentral describes it as "partial 16S ribosomal RNA". It matches the Rfam family "Bacterial small subunit ribosomal RNA", at positions 198 to 386 of the family's 1533-position model. The record is from RNAcentral.